This is a long non-coding RNA of Humulus lupulus (European hop), 1295 nucleotides long. RefSeq lists it as uncharacterized. The record is from RefSeq and is a predicted model, not a curated record. The transcript is spliced from 6 exons. Lineage: Eukaryota; Viridiplantae; Streptophyta; Magnoliopsida; Rosales; Cannabaceae.
CGAAAAGCCCAUUUCGUUUUCUUCUUCAAAUCCCUAGCUCCAUCUCACUCACAAAUCCCUAGCUCCAUCUCACACUACUCCAAUUCAGUGCAACGGCCUUUUUCCUCAGUAAGUUGUACAGUGACUAUCUCCAAGCCCUAAGAAGGUCUGGUGGAAGCUGCACUGAUCAUAGCUUCUCCAUUGAAAUGCUUAGGACCUUCUCCACAUCUCAGGUCAUGGUCAGGAGGCAGAGAACAGCUUUCCCACCGAAUUUUGUUCACUCGCUCGAUUGUUCUCAUAUGAUGAUGCCAAAUAUUUUGUUCACCGAAUUUUCUCCUCAUUUGAAAUGCCUCACCUCAUGCAUCUGUCGGUCUCCUUAACAUGCAGCCAUACUUCUGUGCACAUGAAUAUUAAGGGAAAUAGAGGGCACAGAGACUCCUCGAGGAACAUGCUACUGCACCAGAUACAUCUUAUCUGAUGUGAGAAAGUUAUCAUAGGUAUGAUGUCCAUUCACUUUGCAAAAAAGCCUUGAGCUCAGACCUAGACAGUAGUAGACAUACCCCUUUGUACAGCUGAAAAGAAAAGCCCCAUUUCAUUUUCUUCUUCAUAUUCCCCUAUACACUCUCAAAUCUCUAGCUCUCUCUCACUCUAAUCUCUCUAUCUCUCAGUUUAAAUCAAACCCCAGACCCCAUUAUUCUUCCCCUCUCUCUCGUAUUCCUGUCUCCCUCUCACUCUAGCUCUCUCUGUCUCUCUCAUUCGAAGUUCACAUACCAACUUCUAACCGAAGGAACUCGGAAUCAUCUAGCCGAAAGGUAGUGAUUCCAAGAAAGGUGGUGGUGGAGGUUCGCAAGAUGGGAAGAUUGGGUCCAGCAAUGUCCUCACGAACCAGUACACACGGUCACACGUUGCGACUUCUGUCCAAAUUUCUUAGAUCGAUCAAUAGGCAAGCUAUUGAAGCUUAAACAAAAGAUUGCUUUAGCCACCUCAGCCAUCAAAUCUGUUUUCAGCCAAGAACAGCCCAAGCAGGAUGCGACUGACAAACUGGAGCGACUAAGGGAGAGGAUGAUCAAAGUGCGGGAGCUUUUUUGGGACAUUGAUUCAACAGAAUUUGUUAUUGUAACAAUUCCCACGAGCAAGACAUCAACUGUUUGUGAGCUCAAUUGGUUCUCAGUACAAGGCUUGACAUUUGAAGUUGUCUUGUGAUUAUCAACUGAUCUGUUGGAUUUACUUUCUGUGGAUCACAUUUGAUGUUUGAAGUCGUCUUAUGAUUGUGGUAGUUCAUGUCUUAUAAGAAAUAUACCCUUUUUUCAUAAUAA